This 348-nucleotide ribosomal RNA is filed under the name Chromohalobacter israelensis. RNAcentral's name for it is "bacterial SSU rRNA". It matches the Rfam family "Bacterial small subunit ribosomal RNA", at positions 36 to 367 of the family's 1533-position model. The record is from RNAcentral. Lineage: Bacteria; Pseudomonadati; Pseudomonadota; Gammaproteobacteria; Oceanospirillales; Halomonadaceae.
CCAAGCUGAUCAUCUGGCGGCAUGCCUAACACAUGCAAGUCGAGCGGUAACAGGUCCAGCUUGCUGGAUGCUGACCCUUAGGAGGACGGGUGAGUAAUGCAUAGGAAUCUACCCAGUCGUGGGGGAUAACCUGGGGAAACCCAGGCUAAUACCGCAUACGUCCUACGGGAGAAAGCGGGGGCUCUUCGGACCUCUCGCGAGUGGAUGAGCCUAUGUGGGAUUAGCUGGUUGGUGGGGUAACGGCUCACCAAGGCGACGAUCCAUAGCUGGUCUGAGAGGAUGAUCAGCCACACUGGGACUGAGACUCGGUCCAGUCUCCUACUGGAGGCAGGUAGGGGGGAAUAUUGU